GAUGAACGCUGGCGGCGUGCUUAACACAUGCAAGUCGAACGGAAAGGCUCCUGCUUGCAGGGGUACUCGAGUGGCGAACGGGUGAGUAACACGUGGGUGAUCUGCCCUGCACUUCGGGAUAAGCCUGGGAAACUGGGUCUAAUACCGGAUAGGACGAUGGUUUGGAUGCCAAUGUGGAAAGUUUUUUCGGUGUGGGAUGAGCUCGCGGCCUAUCAGCUUGUUGGUGGGGUAAUGGCCUACCAAGGCGUCGACGGGUAGCCGGCCUGAGAGGGUGUACGGCCACAUUGGGACUGAGAUACGGCCCAGACUCCUACGGGAGGCAGCAGUGGGGAAUAUUGCACAAUGGGCGCAAGCCUGAUGCAGCGACGCCGCGUGGGGGAUGACGGCCUUCGGGUUGUAAACUCCUUUCGCUAGGGACGAAGCGCAAGUGACGGUACCUGGAGAAGAAGCACCGGCUAACUACGUG
This 466-nucleotide ribosomal RNA is filed under the name uncultured bacterium. RNAcentral's name for it is "partial 16S ribosomal RNA". It matches the Rfam family "Bacterial small subunit ribosomal RNA", at positions 28 to 507 of the family's 1533-position model. The record is from RNAcentral.